AUAGCGUAUAUUAAAGUUGUUGCAGUUAAAAAGCUCGUAGUUGGAUCUCGGGUCCGAGCUGGCGGUUCGUUUCGCGACGACACUGCCCGUCCCGGACCUACCUGCCGGUCGUCUCGUCGUGCUCUUCGCUGAGUGCGUCGAGUGGCUGGAACGUUUACUUUGAAAAAAUUAGAGUGCUCAAAGCAGGCCGUUUGCCUGAAUAACCGCGCAUGGAAUAAUGGAAUAGGACCUCGGUUCUAUUUUGUUGGUUUUCGGAACUUGAGGUAAUGAUUAAGAGGGACAGACGGGGGCAUUCGUAUUACGGUGUUAGAGGUGAAAUUCUUGGAUCGCCGGAAGACGAACUACUG
This 347-nucleotide ribosomal RNA is filed under the name uncultured eukaryote. RNAcentral describes it as "SSU rRNA". It matches the Rfam family "Eukaryotic small subunit ribosomal RNA", at positions 594 to 945 of the family's 1831-position model. The record is from RNAcentral.